CUAGGGACAGCUGCAGAUUGUAGUACAAUAGAACAUCAAUAAAUUAAUACUCAAUAAAUUAAUAAUUUUUGAAAAUUAAUAAAUUUUGGAAUUUAAUAAAUUUUGUCAGUCCUAACUUGAACCGAUUCAAAAUUUGACAUAAAUCGAUAAAAUAAUAAAAUAAUAUUUUUUGUAGAAAAUCUAUAUAAAUAUAUGGUUCCAUUAAAAUUAUAAAUUAAUAAUUUAUAUGUAUAUAUAUUUUAUAUAAGUAAGAACUAUUAUUAUAUUAUUUGUUUUAUAUUCAUAAUGAAAUUAUCUUUAUAGUUUCUUAACACUUAAUAUAUUUUUUGAUGAGAUUUAGACCACAAGGAGAAAAAUGACCAAAAUGUUUCAUUUAAUAGGUAAAAUGACCAUAAUACCCUAGAUAUAUAAAAAUGAAAAAAUAAAAAAUUAGUUUUAUAUUAUAUGUUUUCAAAUUCAAACUUUUUUAUAAAUUUUUUUUAUAUUUUUUUUUCAAAUUUUCUUUUUGUAAUUCGAAAAUACUUUUUGAAACUAUUUUUAAAAUUUUUAUUUUUAAAAUUUUUAUUUUAAUUUUUUAUUUUAUAAAAUUUUUAUUUUUAUUUUUUAUUUUAUAAAAUUUUAAAUCUCAAUUCCAAAUCCACACCCCUUAACUCUAAACCCUAAGGUUUGAAUUAGUUAACCUUAGAGCAUGUUUAUUGCAGGUCUCUUAGCUUGGGUAAUAUAAGAGACAUCUUUUAGCUUUUUUAGUUAAAAGCUAAGAGAUUGUAUCUUAUAUUACGGUAAGAGACCCAACCUAAGAGACUUACAAUAAGCAUGCUCUUAGG
This 824-nucleotide long non-coding RNA is filed under the name Brassica rapa (field mustard). Its description in RNAcentral is "long non-coding RNA (BRAP_LNC004798)". The record is from RNAcentral. Lineage: Eukaryota; Viridiplantae; Streptophyta; Magnoliopsida; Brassicales; Brassicaceae.